UAGGGAAUCUUCCACAAUGGACGAAAGUCUGAUGGAGCAACGCCGCGUGAGUGAAGAAGGGUUUCGGCUCGUAAAACUCUGUUGUUAAAGAAGAACAUAUCUGAGAGUAACUGUUCAGGUAUUGACGGUAUUUAACCAGAAAGCCACGGCUAACUACGUGCCAGCAGCCGCGGUAAUACGUAGGUGGCAAGCGUUGUCCGGAUUUAUUGGGCGUAAAGCGAGCGCAGGCGGUUUUUUAAGUCUGAUGUGAAAGCCUUCGGCUCAACCGAAGAAGUGCAUCGGAAACUGGGAAACUUGAGUGCAGAAGAGGACAGUGGAACUCCAUGUGUAGCGGUGAAAUGCGUAGAUAUAUGGAAGAACACCAGUGGCGAAGGCGGCUGGCUGGUCUGUAACUGACGCUGAGGCUCGAAAGUAUGGGUAGCAAACAGG
This 429-nucleotide ribosomal RNA is filed under the name bacterium. RNAcentral describes it as "partial 16S ribosomal RNA". It matches the Rfam family "Bacterial small subunit ribosomal RNA", at positions 355 to 776 of the family's 1533-position model. The record is from RNAcentral.